This 464-nucleotide ribosomal RNA is filed under the name uncultured bacterium. RNAcentral's name for it is "partial 16S ribosomal RNA". It matches the Rfam family "Bacterial small subunit ribosomal RNA", at positions 28 to 506 of the family's 1533-position model. The record is from RNAcentral.
GACGAACGCUGGCGGCGUGCUUAACACAUGCAAGUCGAACGGAAAGGCCCUGCUUGCAGGGUACUCGAGUGGCGAACGGGUGAGUAACACGUGGGUGAUCUGCCCUGCACUUCGGGAUAAGCCUGGGAAACUGGGUCUAAUACCGGAUAGGAGCCAUUUUUAGUGUGAUGGUUGGAAAGUUUUUUCGGUGUAGGAUGAGCUCGCGGCCUAUCAGCUUGUUGGUGGGGUAAUGGCCUACCAAGGCGGCGACGGGUAGCCGGCCUGAGAGGGUGGACGGCCACCUGGGGACUGGGAUACGGCCCAGACUCCUCCGGGGGGCAGAGGGGGGGAAUUUUGCAAAAGGGGGGGAAGCCUGAUGCAGCGACGCCGGGGGGGGGAUGACGGCCUUCGGGUUUUAAACUCCUUUCGCUGGGGACGAAGCUUUUUGUGACGGUACCUAGAUAAGAAGCACCGGCUAACUACGG